AGUGAACGCUGGCGGCGUGCUUAACACAUGCAAGUCGAACGAGAAACGGGUUUAGUUUACUAGACCGCAGUCUAAGUGGCGCACGGGUGAGUAAUAUAUAGGUAACAUGCCUCUUACUAAGGGAUAACAGAUGGAAACGCCUGCUAAUACCUUAUAUGCCUUUUGGACUAAAGUUCGUAAAGGGAAAGAUUUAUUGGUAAGAGAUUGGCCUGUACAGUAUCAGCUAGUUGGUGGUGUAAUGGACCACCAAGGCUAUGACACUUAACUGGUUUGAGAGGAUGAUCAGUCACACUGGAACUGAGACACGGUCCAGACUCCUACGGGAGGCAGCAGUGGGGAAUAUUGCACAAUGGACGAAAGUCUGAUGCAGCAACGCCGCGUGGAGGAUGACACAUUUCGGUGCGUAAACUCCUUUUAUAGGUCAAGAUAAUGACGGUAGCCUAUGAAUAAGCGCCGGCUAACUCCGUG
RNAcentral lists this ribosomal RNA (468 nucleotides) under uncultured bacterium. RNAcentral describes it as "bacterial SSU rRNA". It matches the Rfam family "Bacterial small subunit ribosomal RNA", at positions 29 to 507 of the family's 1533-position model. The record is from RNAcentral.